GUCUAAAAACAAAUUUAAGUACCAAGUUUCAUCCCAAUAGACUGAGGAAGAAGGCGGGCAGACUCAACUCGAGUAAAAAAAUGCUUAAACUAUACACAAGAUACAUUUCGUUCAGUCCAAUACUUAGCAUAUUUUUAGGCAUAGCAAAAAAUCUAUCUAUUUUUCAAUCAAAAAUAGCGAAAAUAGGCUCAUAACUUCAGGUUGAUUAUUAUCGAAGUCUAAUUAAUCGAAGUCUAAUCGAUCUUUAAGUGACAUCUUAAACUAGUGACAUAAAAUUCGUUCAACAGUUUACCAGGUCAAUAACAAUAACCCGAAUGCUCGUUGUUCAGUUUCCUAAAUGACUUCGACAACUCAUUUAUCGAUUUCUGUCACUUUUGCUUAGUAGUUGAAGAGAAAGCUUUGAAAAUAACUUCUAGUGGAUAGAGUCUACAUCAAUCCAAGGAGUCUACAGUCUGGAGUCUGGAGUCUGGAGUUUACAUCAAUCCAAGGCACAAUGAAACUAUCAAACGGGGCUGAACAUAGCAAGCAGUUGAUGACAAGAUUAAAAGAUAAACGGCAAAGGACAAUUGUUCUAUUGGAUCAGAUUGAAAGUGAUUUCAAUGAAUGGCAAAAUAUACUUCUGACGACUGAGGGAUUUUGUCGUCUUAUCCUAGGAAAUGAAUUGGUUCAUAUACAAUUUCCCGAUGAAACACAAGGCAUUAUUACCGAUAUAUUUACUGGUUUAGGUAAAAUAAUUGCCAGAAAGGAGUCACUAAAAACGGAUAUACGGCAUUACGAAAUGGAUAUUCAUUUUUUGAAAUCACAAAAAAAUAAAUACUAUUGAUCAAACUUUUGGUCAUAUGUAUGUAUAUUUUUGCUGAGCUAAGGUGAAAUAAUCGAAUAAUUGAUAAAUUCGAAGGAACUAACUUACUAAUAACUCCUAGUGCCUUUUAGGUCCUUGAACAACUAAAAUACGAUGCUUCUAUCGAAGAGUCUUUAUUGUAAAACUCAAAAUCUUGUUCUAAACAAACGCUUAUUGCUUUAAAUCGUUAUAUCGUUACUUAGAUCGUUAUAAACAAAGGAAAAGCACAAACUGAA
Long non-coding RNA from Drosophila willistoni, 1077 nucleotides. RefSeq lists it as uncharacterized. The transcript is spliced from 4 exons. Lineage: Eukaryota; Metazoa; Arthropoda; Insecta; Diptera; Drosophilidae. The record is from RefSeq and is a predicted model, not a curated record.